Molecule: ribosomal RNA, 387 nt
Filed under: Triticum aestivum (bread wheat)
Lineage: Eukaryota; Viridiplantae; Streptophyta; Magnoliopsida; Poales; Poaceae
Description: partial small subunit ribosomal RNA
Source: RNAcentral
AUGGCGGCGAGGGCGGUGACCAUGCUGGCCGCGGCGGCGCUCAUUGUCGUGGCGGCGGUCCUGGCCGGCGGCGCGUCGGCGCAGUCGAGCGGGUGCACACAGACGCUGAUCGGCAUGUCGCCGUGCCUCAACUACAUCACGGGGAACGAGACGGCACCGUCCAAGUCGUGCUGCUCGCAGCUCGCCACGGUGGUGAGCUCCAGGCCCGAGUGCCUCUGUGUCGCGCUCAACGCCGACCCUGUUAGCCCAGAACUACUGCGACCAGAGAGUCGUGGCUAUCUAAUGGUAAUAUUUGCACUCAGCUCACUAGUAACACAUGCACUCACUAGUGCAGCUAAAGACACACACGAGAUACUGGAGUACUACUUGAGCAGAGGAGGAAACUGA